This 481-nucleotide ribosomal RNA is filed under the name uncultured bacterium. RNAcentral describes it as "partial 16S ribosomal RNA". It matches the Rfam family "Bacterial small subunit ribosomal RNA", at positions 28 to 507 of the family's 1533-position model. The record is from RNAcentral.
GAUGAACGCUGGCGGCGUGCUUAACACAUGCAAGUCGAACGAAGCACUUUAUUUGAUUUCCUUCGGGACUGAUUAUUUUGUGACUGAGUGGCGGACGGGUGAGUAACGCGUGGGUAACCUGCCUUGUACAGGGGGAUCACAGUUUGAAACGGCUGCUAAUACCGCAUAAGCGCACAGCAUCGCAUGAUGCAGUGUGAAAAACUCCGGUGGUAUAAGAUGGACCCGCGUUGGAUUAGCUAGUUGGUGAGGUAACGGCCCACCAAGGCGACGAUCCAUAGCCGAGCAGAGAGGGUGACCGGCGACAUUGGGACUGAGACACGGCCCAAACUCCUACGGGAGGCAGCAGUGGGGAAUAUUGCAAAAUGGGCGAAAGCCUGAUGCAGCGACGCCGCGUGAGCGAAGAAGUAUUGCGGUAUGUAAAGCUCUAUCAGCAGGGAAGAUAAUGACGGUACCUGACGAAGAAGCACCGGCUAAAUACGUG